UACGUAGGCAGCAAGCGUUGUUCGGAAUUACUGGGCGUAAAGGGUGUGUAGGCGGUUGUUUAAGUUUGGUGUGAAAUCUCCCGGCUCAACUGGGAGGGUGCGCCGAAUACUGAGGGACUAGAGUAUGGGAUGGGAAAGUGGAAUUCCUGGUGUAGCGGUGAAAUGCGUAGAUAUCAGGAGGAACACCUGUGGUGUAGACGGCUUUCUGGACCAUAACUGACGCUGAGACACGAAAGCGUGGGUAGCAAACAGG
This 253-nucleotide ribosomal RNA is filed under the name uncultured bacterium. RNAcentral describes it as "partial 16S ribosomal RNA". It matches the Rfam family "Bacterial small subunit ribosomal RNA", at positions 524 to 776 of the family's 1533-position model. The record is from RNAcentral.